Molecule: transfer RNA, 72 nt
Filed under: Camelus bactrianus (Bactrian camel)
Lineage: Eukaryota; Metazoa; Chordata; Mammalia; Artiodactyla; Camelidae
Also listed under: 2 other names
Rfam family: tRNA
About the family: Transfer RNA (tRNA) molecules are approximately 80 nucleotides in length. Their secondary structure includes four short double-helical elements and three loops (D, anti-codon, and T loops).
Source: Rfam by way of RNAcentral
GAGGGUAUAGCUCAGUGGUAGAGUGCAUGCUUAGCAUGUAUGAGUUCCUGGGUUCAGUUCCCAGGACCUCCA